UGUGUUGUUCCCAGUGCCUGCUAACCUUUCUCUUCACAAUUUCUCAGUACAGAACUGCUUAGUGACUCCAUCCAAAAUCCUGCUCCCGAAGAAGAAUUUGGUUGGUUGGUUACGGAACAGAAAGCAUAGUACUGGAAAGCGCUACCUUCCAACAUUGACUUCAAGUAGAAUUUGAGCAACAGAAUUAUGAAUGGGGACUUACUUCACUAAUCUGCAAAGCCCUGGAAAGCUGAUAAUAUACAACAGAGAACCCCUCAGAUGUGUGAGCGUGGCAUUUCUUUUUCACAAAGUGACCACACCUGAAGCAAAACACUGAAAGGACGUGGGCUACCGUGGAACUGCUUCAAGACCUCUGACAACCC
Non-coding RNA from Phalacrocorax carbo (great cormorant), 362 nucleotides. The record is from RefSeq and is a predicted model, not a curated record. NCBI's taxonomy places the organism in Eukaryota, Metazoa, Chordata, Aves, Suliformes, Phalacrocoracidae.